This is a ribosomal RNA of Cricetulus griseus (Chinese hamster), 127 nucleotides long. The record is from Ensembl. Lineage: Eukaryota; Metazoa; Chordata; Mammalia; Rodentia; Cricetidae.
GAGAGCAAAUUAUGUUAUGGCUCUGAAUGCAGCCAAUCAUGUCUGAUCUUGGGGGCUAAGCAGCAUCAGGUCUGAUUAGUGCACAGAUGGGAGAGUGCUUCUGAUUCUGUAAGUACCCUUGCUCACU